This 1580-nucleotide unclassified non-coding RNA is filed under the name Bombus terrestris (buff-tailed bumblebee). RNAcentral's name for it is "misc RNA ENSBTSG00005022697.1". The record is from RNAcentral. Lineage: Eukaryota; Metazoa; Arthropoda; Insecta; Hymenoptera; Apidae.
AAUAUUUAUUUAUUGUACAUCGCUGUAUAAUAUAUCUACAUUUGCAUCCGACGAUACUUAUUGCUGAUAUUGUAAUACCUUCAAUCAACUAACAAUGAAUAAAUUAAAAUAUAGUUAAACCAACAAAACUCUGUCAGACGAAAUAAAUACGUUGCCAAUUGUCUAUCCCUAAUAACUUUAAUCCUCUCCCGUGCCAGUAUUCCUGCGCAUAGCAGGUUAGCCGAAAGGUGGAAUUCGUUUGCCAGUUGCAUCAAACGUAAGUCAACGCUACCCAUUAAACACGAGUUAGUAGAUAAUAGACUCUCACCUACUUCAAAAGACACGACAGACGAAGGUACAUAGAUUUGUUUUCCUACAGGCAAGAAAGUGCUUACAGAGGCACUUCCAGUCUGGGAAUUCAACAGACACAACAGACAAGGGUACAAGGUUUGUUUUCCUACAGGCAAGAAAGUGCUUACAGAGGCACUUCCAGUCUGGGAAUUCAACAGACACAACAGACAAGGGUACAAGGUUUGUUUUCCUACAGGCAAGAAAGUGCUUAUAGAGGCACUUCCAGACUGGGAAUCCAAAAGGCACGAUAGACAAACAAUACCCAUCAUACACUAACACUCCCAACUUUAAGAAAUAAUAAUAAUAAAAGGAAAUUCUUUGAAAUACUUCUUAGACUAUUUCUGGUGGCAGCAACUACCAUAUUAAUCGGACAUCUCGAUUAAUAUUUCAUAAACAAUCAUACCAUUUCAAUUUCCCCCUUCCGAUUAAACUUAAGAUAACACAACAACAACAACAACAAAAAAAAAAAAAAAAAAAAAAAAAAAAAAAAAUUUUAUCUGGAUUUAGUCUAGACUAACACGGAAGGCAUGGCACAAUCAAAUCGAACAUAACAUAACGUAACAAUAUCUCAAUCAGGAGAGAAAUAUCGCUUAGUUUUCGAUCAAAUCGAAGAAUGAUUGAAUUUUAAGAGCUGAAUGCGAUUGCAUCGACACUGGCUAUAGCGCGCACUACGUUCUGCGUGCAGAAUGGAAUAAAAUGGGCGUUUAAACGUCGACAUAUCUCACACGCCGAAAGAAAUAACGCUUAGUUUUCGAUCAAAUCGAAGAAUGAUUGAAUUUUAAGAGCUGAAUGCGACUACAUCGACAAAGGCUAUCGCGUGCACUACGUUCUGCAUGUACAAUGGAGUAAAAUGGGCGUUUAAACGUCGAAAUUUCUCUAACUUGAGAGAAAUAUCGCAUAGUUUUCGAUCAAAUCGAAGGAUGAUUGAAUUUUAAGAGCUGAAUGCGAUUGCAUCGACACUGGCUAUAGCGCGCACUACGUUCUGCGUGCAGAAUGGAAUAAAAUGGGCGUUUAAACGUCGACAUAUCUCACACGCCGAAAGAAAUAACGCUUAGUUUUCGAUCAAAUCGAAGAAUGAUUGAAUUUUAAGAGCUGAAUGCGACUACAUCGACAAAGGCUAUCGCGUGCACUACGUUCUGCAUGUACAAUGGAGUAAAAUGGGCGUUUAAACGUCGAAAUUUCUCUAACUUGAGAGAAAUAUCGCAUAGUUUUCGAUCAAAUCGAAGGAUGAUUGAAUUUUAAGAGCUGAA